This 532-nucleotide ribosomal RNA is filed under the name Roseobacter sp. HKCCD6135. RNAcentral describes it as "partial 23S ribosomal RNA". It matches the Rfam family "Bacterial large subunit ribosomal RNA", at positions 1 to 546 of the family's 2925-position model. The record is from RNAcentral. Lineage: Bacteria; Pseudomonadati; Pseudomonadota; Alphaproteobacteria; Rhodobacterales; Roseobacteraceae.
GAUCAAAUCAAGCGCGAGAAGGGCGUUUGGUGAAUGCCUUGGCAGCAAGAGGCGAUGAAAGACGUGAUACUCUGCGAUAAGCCAUGGGGAGCUGAGAAUAAGCUUUGAUCCAUGGAUCUCUGAAUGGGGCAACCCACCUGAAUGUUUGUUAUUGUUAGCACAGCUGAUCAAUAAUGAGCAUGAACAGGUACUUAAGACCUGAAUACAUAGGGUUUUAAGAGCAAACCCGGGGAACUGAAACAUCUAAGUACCCGGAGGAAAGGAAAUCAAUUGAUACUCCCCUAGUAGCGGCGAGCGAACGGGGACCAGCCGAGCCGGAUAAGUGACUAGAACACGUUGGGAAGCGUGGCCAUAGCGGGUGACAGCCCCGUAUAGGAAGCUUUGACGGACGUAUUAAGUAGGGCGGAACACGUGAAAUUCUGUCUGAAGAUCGGAGGACCACCUUCGAAGGCUAAGUACUCCUUGCUGACCGAUAGCGAACCAGUACCGUGAGGGAAAGGUGAAAAGCACCCCGACGAGGGGAGUGAAACAG